Molecule: ribosomal RNA, 199 nt
Filed under: uncultured bacterium
Lineage: Bacteria
Description: partial 16S ribosomal RNA
Rfam family: Bacterial small subunit ribosomal RNA
Source: RNAcentral
ACGCUCGACACCUACGGGAGGCAGCAGGUGGGGGAUAUUGCACAAUGGGGGAAACCCUGAUGCAGCAACGCCGCGUGAAGGAAGAAGGUCUUCGGAUUGUAAACUUCUGUCCUCAGGGAAGAUAAUGACGGUACCUGAGGAGGAAGCUCCGGCUAACUACGUGCCAGCAGCCACGGUAAUCUGAGCGGGCUGGCAAGGC